Macrobrachium nipponense is the source of this 580-nucleotide long non-coding RNA. RefSeq lists it as uncharacterized. The transcript is spliced from 2 exons. The record is from RefSeq and is a predicted model, not a curated record. NCBI's taxonomy places the organism in Eukaryota, Metazoa, Arthropoda, Malacostraca, Decapoda, Palaemonidae.
UAUAUAUAUAUAUAUAUAUAUAUAUAUACCCAGUGCUAACAUUGAUAAAUAUAUAAUACAAUAACAUUUAGUUUAUAUUUGUAUGCACACAUGUCAACAACUGCAUUUAUAAACGUUACUUUCAAUACGAUAUGUUAGUACACGCAUCAGAAAACACACUGUCAACAUAGCCAGACUGGAAGUCCCCAGUUUCUUACAUGCUUGAUGAGUCGACGAUAAAACUUUACAUAAGACAUUGCUUAAUUGUAUACAUUUGAUGGUAUAAUGCAGCUUGUGUGUGUGUAUAUAUAUAUAUAUAUAUAUAUAUACAUAGUUAUAGGCAUGUAUAAACAACAUCAAUUACAUGUACACUUACACAUAACCGUACCAUACUUCCAACACGUAUCAGAGAAAGCCAGGGUUCGUUACAACUUUUCUCCAACGUUUUGCAGCUUCAACUGUCAGCUGAAACUACAAAACGUUACCACGCGAACGUUUGCUGGAAGCCUUAAGAACAAGUGCUUGAAGAAAUGAAUAGGAAUGCUGGUGUGUGAUCUUUUUAAAGAGAAGAGACUGUCGAAUAAAAGGUAUCAAUGUUGAA